UACCACAUCUAAGGAAGGCAGCAGGCGCGUAAAUUACCCAAUCCUAAUUCAGGGAGGUAGUGACAAGAAAUAACGGACUGAGGCCUAUGCUUCAGGAUUGCAAUGAGUAGAAUUUAAACCCCUUUUCGAGUAACAAUUGGAGGGCAAGUCUGGUGCCAGCAGCCGCGGUAAUUCCAGCUCCAAUAGCGUAUAUUUAAGUUGUUGCAGUUAAAAAGCUCGUAGUUGGAUUUCUGGUAGGAUGCUAAUGUCCGCUUGUUGCGUGUGCAUAUGCGUCCUGCCAUCCUUCUGUUAACUGUCCUGGUAUUGAUUUACUGGUUCAGAGCUCAGAUAUUUUACCUUGAGAAAAUUAGAGUGUUUAAGGCAGGCAUGCGCCUGAAUACAUUAGCAUGGAAUAAUAGAAUAGGACUUUGGUCUCCUUUGUUGGUUUGAGGGACUAGAGUAAUGAUUAAUAGGGACAGUUGGGGGCAUUAGUAUUUAAUUGUCAGAGGUGAAAUUCU
This 497-nucleotide ribosomal RNA is filed under the name Pseudokeronopsis sp. RNAcentral's name for it is "SSU rRNA". It matches the Rfam family "Eukaryotic small subunit ribosomal RNA", at positions 408 to 920 of the family's 1831-position model. The record is from RNAcentral. Lineage: Eukaryota; Ciliophora; Spirotrichea; Urostylida; Pseudokeronopsidae.